CAGCACAGACUGAUGAACGUGCAUGUUCUCUGCUGCUUGUGAUGUGGUCUCAGGAAGAAAAUGUAUCUUGGGUUUCUGCAAGGCUUUCAUCCAGGUGAAUUUGGGCAAGUCUUUCUUUGCACUAGCAUUAUCCCAUCUGGCUUCAAAUUCAGGAUGUGAACACUGAAACUUGAUACUUGGGCUAGAAACCUGAACUGGAACUUAAAUCCUGCAUGGUCCCUCCCAGGCAUUCCCUGCUAUUGAUGAAGGAAUGGCAGAAUGGAUACAACCAUAUGAGAGGCAGCAAGUUACUCCUCCUCUGAACACUUAAUUUUGCUCUGUGUUGUGCUCGCUAUCACAUUUAAAUAUAAUAAAUACAUAGUUAUUCCUGAGGCA
Molecule: long non-coding RNA, 375 nt
Filed under: Parus major (Great Tit)
Lineage: Eukaryota; Metazoa; Chordata; Aves; Passeriformes; Paridae
Description: lncRNA (ENSPMJG00000009698.1)
Source: RNAcentral